AACGAACGCUGGCGGCAGGCCUAACACAUGCAAGUCGAGCGGACCCUUCGGGGUUAGCGGCGGACGGGUGAGUAACGCGUGGGAAUAUGCCCUUCUCUACGGAAUAGUUCUGGGAAACUGGGGGUAAUACCGUAUACGCCCUUUGGGGGAAAGAUUUAUCGGGGAAGGAUUAGCCCGCGUUGGAUUAGGUAGUUGGUAGGGUAAUGGCCUACCAAGCCGACGAUCCAUAGCUGGUUUGAGAGAAUGAUCAGCCACACUGGGACUGAGACACGGCCCAGACUCCUACGGGAAGCAGCAGUGGGGAAUCUUAGACAGUGGGGGCAACCCUGAUCGAGCCAUGCCGCGUGAGUGAUGAAGGCCUUAGGGUUGUAAAGCUCUUUCAGCUGGGAAGAUAAUGACGGUACCAGCAGAAGAAGCCCCGGCUAACUCCGUG
Molecule: ribosomal RNA, 433 nt
Filed under: uncultured bacterium
Lineage: Bacteria
Description: partial 16S ribosomal RNA
Rfam family: Bacterial small subunit ribosomal RNA
Source: RNAcentral